GGAGAAAUUUAGAACAGAUAGAAACCGACCUGGAUUACUCCGGUCUGAACUCAGAUCACGUAGGACUUUAAUCGUUGAACAAACGAACCUUUAAUAGCGGCUGCGCCAUCGGGAUGUCCUGAUCCAACAUCGAGGUCGUAAACCCUAUUGUUGAUAUGGACUCUGGAAUAGGAUUGCGCUGUUAUGCCCGCCUCUUCACGGGGGAAAAAUAUUUCAGCUCUUGUCUUGAACUAAGUUAUGAAAAUUACGAAUAUACACCUUCUACUUAUGAAAGCAAAGGUGAACUGUAAAACAGACUUAAGCAGGUCCUCUAAAAGGCAUUAUCCUCAUAGGAGAUGACAGCUCUAUGUGUGUUAUUGCUCCUAAAGAUCUUCCAGAAAAACAAGAUGUGAAUGUGGCAGGUGGUAAUACUGAUGAUCCUGACCUUGUGUAGGCAUAAGCUAAUGUGUGUCUGUCUUCGUUUUUAAUAAAAUAGCUUACAAAGUCAAAUAAAUAAAUAUACUUUAAGAAUAGAGAAAAGCCUAUAGAACAAGGAUACGAAGAAAGAAAACCUUUUGAAUAGUUGUACAACAUGUUCAUGUUUUAAGUGUAAUUACAAGAGUAAAGAAGUUUAAAAAAUUAAGAUUAUAAAGUAAAAAAGUUACAGUAAGCUAACAUUCAAUAACAAUUAACAAAUUAAUUGUUAUUAAAUUUAUUUUAAAUUUUUGUGUAGCCUAAGUGUACAGUGUUUAUAAAGUCUGCAGUAGUGUACAGUAAUGUUCUAGGCCUUCACAUUCACUCACCACUCACACACUGACUCACACAGAGCAACUUCUAGUCCUGCAAGCUCCAUUCAUGGUAAGUGCCCUACACAGGGGCACCAUUUCUUAAAAUCUUUUAUACUGUAUUUUUACUGUGUCUUUUCUAUAUUUAGAUAUGUUUAGAUAGACAAAUACUUACCAUUGCAUUACAAUUGCCCACAGUACUCCAUAAAGCACCAUAUUGUAAAGGUUUGUAGCCUAGGAGCAAUAAACUAUCACACUUAGCAAUCAGCUAGGUUUGUAGGAGACUAUACCAUCAACAUUUGUGUAAGUACAUGCUAUGAUGUUUGUACAAUGACAAAAUUGCAUAACACAUUUCUCAGAAGGUGUCCCCAUUGUGAAGUGGCAUAUGACUAUUUAUGUAGGUGUGUAUGUGUGUCACCCUCUCUCUCUCUCUAAAGAUUUUUGAGAAAUAAACAAUGAUAUUUUAAAAAACUUAGAAGCCUGGAAAGAGAAACAAAUAUAGUUAUUAAUAACAAUAAUUUGGUUAGUAUAGUGGCAUUAUCCGUGAUACAUAUUUUUGUUAUUACACAGGUUCUUUAUAAGUAGUUAUUUUAAUGAUUUUAGUCACAACAAAACAGAAAAAAUAUAUAUAUUUCUAAUUUUUAAAAUAGAUAAGUAUUUCCUUUUAUUUGUUCUGGUUUAUUUGAUGUGUGUCCUAAAUAAAAGACUUGUUUUCCCAAAAAAAAUAUUCUGGACAUGCAGAGCUCAGUCUCUAUGCUCAAUAUAAAGGCUGAUUUAAGUCUCACUAAUAAGAAAAUGGAGUCCAGUUUAUAAUGUGGAAAUAUUUCUUAUUCUUUCACUUUGUGCUAGCCAGGAUUUAUCAUUUCUGGCUCUUCAGAAGAUGAGUAUUCAUAAUACGAAUGGUCAUUACUUAACCAAGUUGUAAUUCAUUUCAACAUUAUGUAAUAUUUUUUCUUAGUAAUAAAGCAUCUAUUUUUAUUGUUA
Pan troglodytes (chimpanzee) is the source of this 1748-nucleotide long non-coding RNA. RefSeq lists it as uncharacterized. The record is from RefSeq and is a predicted model, not a curated record. The transcript has 3 exons. Lineage: Eukaryota; Metazoa; Chordata; Mammalia; Primates; Hominidae.